CGGGGAAUAUUGGGCAAUGGGCGCAAGCCUGACCCAGCAACGCCGCGUGAGGGAAGAAGGUCUUCGGAUUGUAAACCUCUGUCCUUGGGGACGAAAAAAAUGACGGUACCCAAGGAGGAAGCUCCGGCUAACUACGUGCCAGCAGCCGCGGUAAUACGUAGGGAGCGAGCGUUGUCCGGAAUUACUGGGCGUAAAGGGUGCGUAGGUGGCGCUGCAAGUCAGAUGUGAAAUCCCCGGGCUUAACUCGGGGGGUGCAUUUGAAACUGCGGUGCUUGAGUGCAGGAGAGGAAAGCGGAAUUCCUAGUGUAGCGGCGAAAUGCGUAGAUAUUAGGAAGAACACCAGUGGCGAAGGCGGCUUUCUGGACUGUAACUGACGCUGAUGCACGAAAGCGUGGGGAGCAAACAG
RNAcentral lists this ribosomal RNA (406 nucleotides) under uncultured bacterium. RNAcentral describes it as "bacterial SSU rRNA". It matches the Rfam family "Bacterial small subunit ribosomal RNA", at positions 355 to 775 of the family's 1533-position model. The record is from RNAcentral.